AUCAUACUCCCUCCGUCCAAAAAUACUUGUCAUCAAAACGGACAAAAAAGAUGUACCUUGAAUUAAAACACAUCUAGAUACACCUCCUUUUAUUCAUUUUGAUGACAAGUAUUUCCGGACGGAGGGAGUAUAUG
Triticum aestivum (bread wheat) is the source of this 134-nucleotide non-coding RNA. Lineage: Eukaryota; Viridiplantae; Streptophyta; Magnoliopsida; Poales; Poaceae. The record is from Rfam.